ACAUGGACAAGGAUUUUGUCCGGGACCAUUGUUUCAGUGGGUUUGGAAGAAAAUACUAAAUAAUUCGCGUAAGAUAUAAGCUGCAAUUAUCUCCUCUCAGCUGAAACGCCCCCAAAAAUACGAUCAUUUUUCAGAGAGCGAAAAUGGGUGCCAAUGUAAAAGAUCUCCAAUCUAAAGCAGAGCUUGACGUCAUUCUUAGCCAAGGAAAACCUGUAAUUUUACACUUUUGGGCAGAAUGGUGCGAGGCCUCCAAGCAGAUGGAUCAAGUCUUUUACCAUCUCUGCACAGAUACUCCUUAUGCCAAUUUCCUCAGGGUCGAAGCUGAACAGCAACCAGAGAUUUCAGAGGCAUACUCUGUCUCGGCGGUUCCAUUUUUCGUCUUCUUUAAGGAUGGGAAGGUUGUAGAUACACUGGAGGGUGCAAAUCCAUCAGAGUUGGCCAACAAAGUGGCCAAGGUGUCUGGCUCCAUAGACAUUGCCGAGACAGAUAGUCCUGCUAGUCUUGGAAUGUCUGCUAGUUCGACAGUUAUCGAGACAGUGAAACAAAUAUAUAAAUUACCCCAGACUGCUAAAACUGAUAUAGAGUCUGGUGAUGCAGUUAAGAGCAAACUGCAACAACUUAUGAAUUCCAAACCUGUCAUGUUGUUUAUGAAAGGGACACCUGAGGAGCCACGAUGUGGAUUUAGCAGAAAGGUUGUGGAUGUUUUGAAAUCAGAGGGUGUAGAAUAUGGCAGCUUUGAUAUUCUAAGUGACGAACAAGUGCGUGAGGGCCUGAAGGCAUUUUCCAACUGGCCAACCUUUCCACAACUGUAUUGUAAGGGUGAGCUGCUUGGAGGCUGUGAUAUCACCCUUGAACUGCAUGAAAGUGGGGAACUGAAACAAAUAUUUAAAGACCAUGGCUUGCUCUCAACUGCUAACAAGUCUGGUGAAUUAACUGCAAAAGCUACUUCUACUGAACCUAAACCUGAUACUGUUAUCUCAGAGUCUGGCAAUGGUGGUAUAGCGGACUCAACUGGUAUAAGUGAAUCAUUAAGUUCUCGAAUAGCGAGCAUCAUAAACUCCAACCCAAUCAUGUUAUUUAUGAAGGGCACUCCUGAAGAGCCACGCUGUGGUUUUAGUCGAAAGGCUGUUGAAAUUCUUAGAGAAGGAGGAGUAGAAUUUGGGAGCUUCAACAUUCUGACUGAUGAAGAGGUAAGGCAAGGUCUUAAAACAUAUUCUAACUGGUCUAGCUAUCCACAAUUAUACAUAAAAGGUGAGCUUAUUGGUGGAUCAGAUAUCAUGAUAGAGAUGCACAAAAGUGGAGAGCUGAAGAACAUUGUCUUGGAGAAAGGAGUGCUGCCCAAAGAGUCACUUGAUAAUCGGUUGAAAAAACUAGUCAAUUCUUCUCCUAUCAUGCUCUUCAUGAAAGGCACACCGGAUGCCCCUCGAUGUGGCUUUAGCUCAAAGGUUGUAAAUGCUUUGAAUGAAGAGGGUUUAGACUUUGGUCAUUUUGACAUUUUGAGUGAUGAAGAAGUCAGACAAGGCCUGAAGACAUAUUCCAAUUGGCCAACUUUUCCACAAUUAUAUUACAAAGGUGAGCUUAUUGGGGGAUGUGACAUUGUGCUGGAAAUGCACAAGGCAGGAGAGCUAAAAUCAUCGUUGACAGAAUAGAACCAAAGUUUUAAAAGUAGAUAAAGAUUCAUAAACACAAGCUUAUCUGGUUGUUGACUUCUGGCUUGUUGGUACUAUUGUGUAUGGCUUCUUCCUUUAUUGGGUUUGCCAGAGUGGGAGUAGGAAUUCUGGGAAUGCUUUCAAGUUGCCGUUGCCGUUGCCGCUGCUCCGUUAAUUGGGUCUCCUUUCAAUAUUGAAUUUCAUAUUUCAUGGCUAUAUUAGGACAGAUUCAAUUUUGGGGAUUCUUGAGCAGAUGGUAUGCAAAGCUUAUUAAUAUAUUGUCUCAUGUGUUGUUAUUGUUGAGCUUGGAACUGUUAUUACUCAUGUUUGUCAGUGUUUCUUUCCCUGGAUUGAAAUGGAGAGGAGCAUGGUGCUGUACAUGUUUCUACCUGGUCCAAUAUCUACUACGGUAAUUAAUGGAAGACAAAUUUUUUGCAUGAAAAAGUGAAAUUGAAACAGUAUUGAACUACAUAGUUGUUUAUUGCAAGUCCACUAUGUGGUCAAGGCACCGAAUUAAAUUUGGUAAGUCUAUAGUUUUCAGAUGCUUAUUGUUUUGGACACCACAAGAUAUGAAACCUGCACUAAAACCAAUAAUCAAGCAAACCUAGUUCAAAGAU
Cryptomeria japonica (Japanese cedar) is the source of this 2266-nucleotide RNA transcript. It is a transcript of the gene named monothiol glutaredoxin-S17, with no coding region annotated. The transcript is spliced from 4 exons. The record is from RefSeq and is a predicted model, not a curated record. Lineage: Eukaryota; Viridiplantae; Streptophyta; Pinopsida; Cupressales; Cupressaceae.